AAAGGUUACAUGAUCACCUCAUGGGUUGGUUGUUACAAGUUUGAUACUCAAUAUAUUAAACCUUGAUUUGUAUAAAUUGAUAUAGGGCAUGCACAAAUUUUUUGUCUUUCUUUGUCAAAAGAAAAUGUGCAAAGGUUGGAUGAUCACCUUGUGGGUUGAUUCAAAGAACAAUUGAUUGGAUGUCUUACAAAUGCACACCCAUAUUGGUGAGACAAAAAACUCUAGCUCUUGUACUUGUGCUAAAUCUCUGCUUGGACCAACAUUGCCUGAAUGUGCAAUCCCUCUUAGCCUUUCC
Molecule: long non-coding RNA, 295 nt
Filed under: Phoenix dactylifera (date palm)
Lineage: Eukaryota; Viridiplantae; Streptophyta; Magnoliopsida; Arecales; Arecaceae
Description: long non-coding RNA (PDAC_LNC004772)
Source: RNAcentral